This 446-nucleotide ribosomal RNA is filed under the name uncultured bacterium. Its description in RNAcentral is "bacterial SSU rRNA". It matches the Rfam family "Bacterial small subunit ribosomal RNA", at positions 330 to 792 of the family's 1533-position model. The record is from RNAcentral.
GCCAGACUCCUACGGGAGGCAGCAGUGGGGAAUAUUGCACAAUGGGGGGAACCCUGAUGCAGCGACGCCGCGUGGGUGAAGAAGUAUUUCGGUAUGUAAAGCUCUGUCAGCAGGGAAGAAGAAAGACGGUACCUGACUAAGAAGCCCCGGCUAACUACGUGCCAGCAGCCGCGGUAAUACGUAGGGGGCAAGCGUUAUCCGGAUUUACUGGGUGUAAAGGGAGCAUAGACGGCAUGGCAAGUCAGAUGUGAAAGCCCGGGGCUCAACCCCGGGACUGCAUUUGAAACUGUCAGGCUGGAGUGCAGGAGAGGUAAGUGGAAUUCCUAGUGUAGCGGUGAAAUGCGUAGAUAUUAGGAGGAACACCAGUGGCGAAGGCGGCCUGCUGGACAGCGACUGACGUUGAGGCUCGAAAGCGUGGGGAGCAAACAGGAUUAGAUACCCUGGUA